This 424-nucleotide ribosomal RNA is filed under the name uncultured prokaryote. RNAcentral describes it as "bacterial SSU rRNA". It matches the Rfam family "Bacterial small subunit ribosomal RNA", at positions 355 to 796 of the family's 1533-position model. The record is from RNAcentral.
UGGGGAAUCUUGGACAAUGGGCGCAAGCCUGAUCCAGCCAUGCCGCGUGAGUGAUGAAGGCCCUAGGGUCGUAAAGCUCUUUCGCCUGUGAAGAUAAUGACGGUAGCAGGUAAAGAAACCCCGGCUAACUCCGUGCCAGCAGCCGCGGUAAUACGGAGGGGGUUAGCGUUGUUCGGAAUUACUGGGCGUAAAGCGUACGUAGGCGGACUAGUCAGUCAGAGGUGAAAUCCCGGGGCUCAACCCCGGAACUGCCUUUGAUACUGCUAGUCUUGAGUUCGAGAGAGGUAAGUGGAAUUCCGAGUGUAGAGGUGAAAUUCGUAGAUAUUCGGAGGAACACCAGUGGCGAAGGCGGCUUACUGGCUCGAUACUGACGCUGAGGUACGAAAGUGUGGGGAGCAAACAGGAUUAGAUACCCCCGUAGUCC